UACGUAGGGGGCGAGCGUUGUCCGGAAUUACUGGGCGUAAAGAGCUCGUAGGUGGUUUGUCGCGUUGUUCGUGAAAUCUCACGGCUUAACUGUGAGCGUGCGGGCGAUACGGGCAGACUGGAGUACUGCAGGGGAGACUGGAAUUCCUGGUGUAGUGGUGGAAUGCGCAGAUAUCAGGAGGAACACCGGUGGCGAAGGCGGGUCUCUGGGCAGUAACUGACGCUGAGGAGCGAAAGCGUGGGGAGCGAACAGG
Molecule: ribosomal RNA, 253 nt
Filed under: uncultured bacterium
Lineage: Bacteria
Description: partial 16S ribosomal RNA
Rfam family: Bacterial small subunit ribosomal RNA
Source: RNAcentral